Long non-coding RNA from Ahaetulla prasina, 320 nucleotides. RefSeq lists it as uncharacterized. The transcript is spliced from 3 exons. NCBI's taxonomy places the organism in Eukaryota, Metazoa, Chordata, Lepidosauria, Squamata, Colubridae. The record is from RefSeq and is a predicted model, not a curated record.
CUUAAAAUAAACAAGCUCAAGAUAAUGCAGCCUUUCUUUCCAGCCAGAAAUGCUGGUUUCCUGCUUAAAUGCAUACCUUUGAUGAUGGUUCACUGGCAGAAUUUGCCUGAGAUCAUAUAUGAAGAUAUUGAAGAGUCCUAGGCCUAUGACAGAACUUUCAGUCAUAUUUAAGAAGUACAUUUUCUGAUCUUGUAGACUAACUUCUGGAAUGGGACCAAUUACCAUUAUGACGAGAUCCAAUCCUGUUAGCUUUUUCACAAUCCUCCAAAAUUUGUUAGAUGCUGCCACCUGCUUGGAAGAUGACUACAAAGCAAUUUUUA